CAUAUGCCUUUGUUCGGUGUGUCUGGCUUUUGCUCUGAUGAAGGCCUGAGGCAGGUUGAGACAUAAAUGUGACAGCAAGGAUUAUGGGACUUUUUGAGGAUAUUUCCCUACUUUAAGUGCAGUGUGUACAAACAAAUGCGUGAGGCCAAUCAGGAUGCUUCUUCAUGUUGAGACCAGGAAAUAGAAACAUGCUGGAUUGACUCACAUCACUUAAUGUCAUUACAACCGGAGGGGAAGCUGUCAAAAUGCAGAUGAGCUUCACUGCAUUACACCUUCAUCGCUCAAUGUGCUCCCAUGAGUAAGGUGAGAGACAGAGAUGGCGACAGCGACAGAUCCUGAUCGCGAUCGCAUGGUGGAACCAUGGUAUCGAAGUCCCUCCCAUACACUGGCCCGACCAAUUGCGUGUCAGUGUGAUAAAACUACAGUACUGUUUGGCAUAUUGUACAUUAGUAGAGCAAAGUAAUGGCUACUCCUACAAAAAAGCUAAAAUAUUAGCCUAAUGAAUCUAGCUUGUGGCAGAGUUUUUUUUCUUUUUUUACCAAUGUGGUGCUAAAUGCACAUGCUUGCAAGGAGCAGUUAAAAAAAAUGAACGUGUAAUUUGUUUUUGUUGCAAAACAGUUAAGGGAGUGGUCAUGGAAUUGCAACCAAUCUGUAGACACGAGUUUGAAAGCCUGCUAAAUAAACAGAGGGUGGCCUUCAUUUGUUGUGAGCACUGACUGGAAUGGAAUGGUUAAAACAAAUAGGAGCUAGACUCUAACUCUAAACAUGUUGAAUUGAACAAAAUGAAUGUUGCUUUUUCAAAGACGAAACGGUCAAGAUUGACACAUCAACAAUAAAUAAGUGUUUUAAGUCUUGUUUGACUUAACUAACA
This is a long non-coding RNA of Perca flavescens (yellow perch), 871 nucleotides long. RefSeq lists it as uncharacterized. The transcript has 3 exons. Lineage: Eukaryota; Metazoa; Chordata; Actinopteri; Perciformes; Percidae. The record is from RefSeq and is a predicted model, not a curated record.